RNAcentral lists this ribosomal RNA (207 nucleotides) under uncultured bacterium. RNAcentral's name for it is "partial 16S ribosomal RNA". It matches the Rfam family "Bacterial small subunit ribosomal RNA", at positions 568 to 774 of the family's 1533-position model. The record is from RNAcentral.
UGCGCAGGCGGAUCUGCAGGUAUCUCGUGAAAUCCCACGGCUCAACCGUGGAACUGCGGGGUAAACCGUGGAUCUUGAGGCAGGUAGGGGUCAGUAGAACCAUGUGUGGACCGGUGAAAUGGAUAGAUAUACAUGGGAACGCCGAUGGCGAAGGCAGCUGACUGGGCCUGUCCUGACGCUCAGGCACGAAAGCGUGGGGAGCGAACG